GGUUCUGUUAUAAAUCUUUAUUUUUUAAGACUUGAACACCUGCAGAAUUAAAUACAAAAGCAAUCAAAAAUCAUCAUAUUUUCUAAAAACAGUUUUCCAUUUGGGGCUUGCGGCCCUCUUCAAUAAAAUCAUUCUGAAGAUUUAAAGAGGUUUCAGCUUCAAAUUCUCAGAAUAAAGACUCCUUUUGAGAGGGGCUACAGAAGCCCCCAUGAGCUUCCUGCUCCUCAAAACUAACAGGCAAAACAACAAACCUCCUAGAAAGCAAAUAUGACCCUUCUCAAUACAGAGCUUUUCCCACCCUAAUUUGUAGUUUUUCAGAAAAGACUGGGGAAGCAGGUAACAGCGAGCAAGUCAUCUUGUGAAGAAGGUCCUGGAGCGAGCCCUGGAGCGGGGGCUCCCCAGGAGGGCCCGAGCAGCGGAGACUUCUCACUCCACCUCUCCAGUCUCUGAUCAGCACACAGUCGGUGGGGCGCUCACACUUGGAAAAGCUUCCAGGAGGCAGCUCUUCAGUAGUGACCAAGGCACACGUGGUCCAUGGACAAUUUUAUCCUGCGAGAGACAGGAAGGAGAACUUGGUGAACCGUGUCAACUCUGAAGAAAGGCAGACAAACGCAAACCCACAUGCGGCAGGCAGGCAGUUAUGACAGGCCCGCCCAGCAGCUGUCACUGAGAACGUGGCUUCUGGACCCUGCUGACAAAUGGCUGUAGAGGAAAGCUGGAGGGAGCUCCUGGCAGAAGUGAAAAUGCCCACUUGCAGAAGAGGAUGGCAGCCCCUUCUGCUUUCAGAAUGACAUCGACCUUUCAAGCGUCACCGCUGCAUUAGUUACCUGUGAAGCGGAUACGGCUUCUCACAAAGGUUGACCAGCACGUACAAAUGUCUCAACGCAUACUCGUACUGGGAGAAAACAAACGAGAAGAAUGAAACUUCCUCAUCUCACCACACAAUCCACUCCACUUUUGCAAUUGCAGAGGGGAAGCAUCUUGACCAGUGGCUCUUGCCCUAUUUUGGUUCAUGGAUCCUUUCCCAACCUUUAGAUAAUCUGGUGAUAUUUAUGGACGAUCCCUCAGGAAAGAGGCACACAUGCCAGGGUUUGCAUGCAAGUUGGGGGGCUGGCGGGGUUCUGCACUCUCAAAUCUGAGGGCAGGACUCCUGACAGGGAACUCCCGAUGGCUCUGCUCCCCGCCAUGGCCUGGGAUCUCCCCGGGAAGUCUGCCUUUUGAUUCUGGGAGGGACACGCCAGCGAGGGAGAUGGACGGCGUGUGAAAGCCACGCUGGAUCACACCAGGGAAGGGUGAAGCAGCGGGGAUGUUUAUCUUGAAACAAACUUCAGGGGAACCCAAGAACUCUCUGAGAACAAAGGAAGAGGUUCACUGUGCAUGACUCCAAAGGUCAAAAGACCAAGACUGGGCCGGGUGCGGUGGCUCAUGCUUGUAAUCCCAGCACUGUGGGAGGCCGAGGCAGGUGGGUCACCUGAGGCCAGAAGUUCAGGACCAGCCUGGACAACAUGGUGAAACCCUGUCUCUACUAAAAAUACGAAAAUUAGCCAGGUGUGGUGGCGCGUGCCUGUAAUCCCAGCUACUCGGGAGGCUGAGGCAGGAGAAUUGCUUGAACCCAGGAGGCAGAGGUUGCAGUGAGCUGAGAUCACACCACUGCACUCUAGCCUGGGCAACAAGAGCAAAACUGUGUCUAAAACAAACAAACAAACAAAAAAAACAAGACUGGAGGGGUAAAGUCGAGCUACCUUAACUCUGCCCCAGUGUGAAAGAAGCCAGGGACAGGGACAACAGGGAACUGAGCAGGAUGUGGCUAUGUUCCAAUAAAACUUUUUUUUGGAGACAGAGUUUCACUCUGUCGCCCAGGCUGGAGUAUAGUGGCACAAUCUCGGCUCAUUGCAACCUCCACCUCCCUGGUUCAAGCGAUUCUCCUGCCUCAGCCUCCCGAGUAGUUGGGAUUACGGGCGUGCACCACCAAGUCUGGCUAAUUUUGGUAUAUUUAGUAGAGAUGAGGUCUUACC
RNAcentral lists this long non-coding RNA (2015 nucleotides) under Homo sapiens (human). RNAcentral describes it as "HSALNT0378741". The record is from RNAcentral. Lineage: Eukaryota; Metazoa; Chordata; Mammalia; Primates; Hominidae.